GUGCCCAUGCACUCUGGCAGCCUUUGCAUUUGCUGGUGCCGAGUGGGUGGAAGCACUAAGGAGGCCUUGCACGUCUGCUCUUCACUCCCUCAUGCCAUGCUUUUGAAAGGAAAUUUGUCUCACUAUGCACACAUCAAGUUGUGCCCAUCUUUUUUGGGUGUUCGUGUCAAGCUUCUGGAAAUGAGAGAAAUAUGUCCUCAUCAAGAAAAUUUAAAGGUGUCAUUUUCUGUUCUUUGUCCAAACCUAUCACUUCUGGUUUUGAGGUCCUAUCUGCAAGAAAUAGAGCUGUCUGAUGACAUGCUUGUCCACUGUUCUAGGAAACGUAUCAUGCUGUACAUCUUAACUGCAUGUGCCUAGAUACUGAGUGUGUCUCCCUACUGAGAAGUGCAUGUCUUACAGCUACUUCAUCCGUUCCAGCUCCAAAGAAGACAGACCCUUCUGCCCUUCCGUCUGUGAGCUCCCUCCCCAGCCCCUCCUCCUGCACUGCACUUCUGCCCCCUUCGUCCCAGCACACUGCCACUUUGCCCGCCUUGACUCCUGGUGAACUGUCCAGCAGCCCCCUUUCUCAGCUCAGCAGGUACGUCAGUCACAAUGAGAAAAGAAAGGGAUGGAGACUUGUGGGCUCUUGUCCAGCAAAUGCCAUGAACAAAAGCCAUGUGUUGCCUCUGAUAGGGAGAUCCCUAUCUUAGGGCAUGGCCUGGGGUUUGGCCUGGUCACAUCCCAAAGUCACUAGGACUCCGAGGUCUCCUGGGGAGCAGAGGAAAGGCAAGCACUUACUUAAUGGCUGUCCUGUCCCCAGUUCUUAGCCCAGCCACUUUAAUGUAGAGUGAGACUGAUUUUACGUAUCUCACUUAGGUUUGUCCUGAUCCCACAGAUAUAUUAUUGUAAUAGGGUGCAAGAAAAGGGGGGAUCAGUUUGUCAUCCAUACCUUC
Molecule: long non-coding RNA, 932 nt
Filed under: Rattus norvegicus (Norway rat)
Lineage: Eukaryota; Metazoa; Chordata; Mammalia; Rodentia; Muridae
Description: long non-coding RNA NONRATT023150
Source: RNAcentral